Molecule: unclassified non-coding RNA, 204 nt
Filed under: Paenalicyclobacillus macrosporangiidus
Lineage: Bacteria; Bacillati; Bacillota; Bacilli; Caryophanales; Alicyclobacillaceae
Description: Alicyclobacillus macrosporangiidus Bacterial large signal recognition particle RNA
Rfam family: Bacterial small signal recognition particle RNA (bases 73-172)
Source: RNAcentral
GCGCGCAUCGCCGCACCGCCCGAACCCCGGGGACAGCCUCGAAUGCACCACGCGUUUUGCGACCAAGGACCAAACUGGGUCCCGCGCGGCGAAAACUUCCGAACCGUGUCAGGUCCUGACGGAAGCAGCACUAAGGAAGACCUUUCGGGCGACGCGGGGAAGCCUGGCUUGGUUCUUGGUCGGAAAGCGCGUUUUUUUGUGUGC